Molecule: ribosomal RNA, 256 nt
Filed under: uncultured bacterium
Lineage: Bacteria
Description: partial 16S ribosomal RNA
Rfam family: Bacterial small subunit ribosomal RNA
Source: RNAcentral
GACGAGAGGUGCCAAGCGUUUAGGCGGAAUCACUGGGCUUAAAGCGUGUGUAGGCGGAUCGUUAAGUACCUUGUGAAAACUCCCACGGCUCAACCGUGGAACUGCUCGGUAUACUGGCGGUCUUGAGCCACCUAGGGGCAACUGGAACAAGCGGUGGAGCGGAUGAAAUGCGUAGAUAUCGCUGGAACGCCAACGGUGAAAACAGGUUGCUGGGGUGUGCUGACGCUGAGACAGAAAGCCAGGGGAGCAAAACGGG